CGCAAAGGAAGGGCACGGAGUAAAUUGAUACACUUUUUCUGUUACGAAAUAUUUGGAUGUGGUUUCCCCAAAUCCACGCCUAUCAAACGUUUUUGAUGGAUUAAGUUCUUUAUAGUUUUCCGACAAUAUUGUUUGGAAACUGGCGCUUUCAUGUUGUUUAGGAUGCCGCCUUCGCGCUCCGCCUCUUUUGAGCAAUGCAAUUUUCGCUCAUUGACGAUUUCACAUUUUAACAUAUUUUAUAGACAAUCAAUUGCUAAGAUUGUAUCAGUUUUUGUGAAACCCAAAUCUUAUACUAGAACUUCUCUACGAAACCUAGAGUUACAAUACAAGCGUCAAUACACAUAUCAAAUGGCUAUUUACAGUAAUUAUUUAUAUUGCUUUGGCAAGUCUUCCGAUCGGUUUUCAAAUAUUCCUGUUUCCCAAAUUUGAGUAUUGUUUGUGUUAUUGAAUUCACAGUUCACAAUUAGUAGUUUUCGAUAUACUGGCUGAAACGUACAUCAGUUUACAUAAGUGCUUUGUUUCAGUUCCUGGGAGAUGUGAUUUAGUAAAUAAUGUACGAAAGUAUUUUUAGGCUUUGAGUAGAGAUACUAGAUUUCGGUGUUUCAUCUCAUUCCCAUACGUCAGGAAGCGAAAUUAGCCGGAGUUCACAAAUCACCUAUAAACUGUUUUUCAUUGUAUUAUUUGUUGUUUCUAGUUCAAAUUGCGCGCUUUUCAUGACAACCUUUGGCUCAAGGCUCAAGUCUCAAGUUCACAGUCUGUGACAUGUCAAGGCGAAGUUCUGCUCAACCCUAUAUUAAA
This is a non-coding RNA of Paramuricea clavata, 798 nucleotides long. The record is from the annotation of a GenBank genome assembly. Lineage: Eukaryota; Metazoa; Cnidaria; Anthozoa; Malacalcyonacea; Plexauridae.